This 410-nucleotide ribosomal RNA is filed under the name uncultured bacterium. RNAcentral describes it as "bacterial SSU rRNA". It matches the Rfam family "Bacterial small subunit ribosomal RNA", at positions 8 to 448 of the family's 1533-position model. The record is from RNAcentral.
AGAGUUUGAUCCUGGCUCAGAACGAACGCUGGCGGCAGGCUUAACACAUGCAAGUCGAACGCUCCGCAAGGAGAGUGGCAGACGGGUGAGUAACGCGUGGGAACAUACCCCUCGGUUCGGAAUAACUCAGGGAAACUUGAGCUAAUACCGAAUACGGUCGAGAGGCGAAAGAUUUAUCGCCGAGGGAUUGGCCCGCGUCCGAUUAGCUAGUUGGUGAGGUAAUGGCUCACCAAGGCGACGAUCGGUAGCUGGUCUGAGAGGAUGAUCAGCCACAUUGGGACUGAGACACGGCCCAAACUCCUACGGGAGGCAGCAGUGGGGAAUAUUGGACAAUGGGCGAAAGCCUGAUCCAGCCAUGCCGCGUGAGUGAUGACGGCCUUAGGGUUGUAAAGCUCUUUCAUCAGGGACGA